AACGAACGCUGGCGGCGUGCCUAACACAUGCAAGUCGAACGAUACCUUCGGGUCUAGUGGCUCACGGGUUCGUAACGCGUGGGAACCUACCCUUAUGUUCGGCAUCACUCCCCGAAAGGGGUGCUAAUACCGGAUACUGUCUUCGGACCAAAGAUUUCUCGCCUUUGGAUGGUCACGCGUUGGAUUAGCUAGUUGGUAGGGUAAAAGCCUACCAAGGCGACGGUCCAUAGCUGGUCUGAGAGGAUCGUCAGCCACACUGGGACUGAGACACAGCCCAGACUCCUACGGGAGGCAGGAGUGGGGAAUAUUGGACAAUGGGCGAAAGCCUGAUGGAGCAAUGCCGCGUGAGUGAUGAAGGCCUUAGGGUUGUAAAGCUCUUUUACCCGGGAUGAUAAUGACAGUACCGGGAGAAUAAGCUCCGGCUAACUCCGUG
Molecule: ribosomal RNA, 433 nt
Filed under: uncultured bacterium
Lineage: Bacteria
Description: partial 16S ribosomal RNA
Rfam family: Bacterial small subunit ribosomal RNA
Source: RNAcentral